RNAcentral lists this ribosomal RNA (907 nucleotides) under Bradyrhizobium sp. RNAcentral's name for it is "bacterial SSU rRNA". It matches the Rfam family "Bacterial small subunit ribosomal RNA", at positions 49 to 1002 of the family's 1533-position model. Lineage: Bacteria; Pseudomonadati; Pseudomonadota; Alphaproteobacteria; Hyphomicrobiales; Nitrobacteraceae. The record is from RNAcentral.
UUACUGUGCGAGUCGAGCGGGCAUAGCAAUAUGUCAGCGUUCCACGGGUGAGUAACGCGUGGGAACGGGGGUUUUGGUUCGGAACAACUGAGGGAAACUUCAGCUAAUUCCGGAUAAGCCCUUACGGGGAAAGAUUUAUCGCCGAAAGAUCGGCCCGCGUCUGAUUAGCUAGUUGGUGAGGUAAUGGCUCACCAAGGCGACGAUCAAUACCUGGUCUGACAGGAUGAUCCCCCCCUUUGGGACUGACACACGGCCCAAACUCCUAUUCGAGGCAGCAUUGGGGAUUAUUGGACAAUGGGCGCCACUCUGAUCCAGCCAUGCCGCGUGAGUGAUGAAGGCCCUAGGGUUGAAAAGCUCUUUUGUGCGGAAAGAUAAUGACGGUACCGCAAGAAUAAGCCCCGGCUAACUUCGUGCCUGCACCCCCGCUAAUACAAAGGGGGCUAGCGUUGCUCGGAAUCACUGGGCGUAAAGGGUGCGUAUGCAGGUCUUUAAGUCAGGGGUGAAAUCCUGGAGCUCAACUCCAGAACUGCCUUUGAUACUGAAGAUCUUGAGUUCGGGAAAGGUGAGUGGAACUGCGACUGUAGAGGUGAAAUUCGUACAUAUUCGCAAGAACACCAGUGGCGAACGCGGCUCUCUGGCCCGAUACUGACGCUGAGGCACGAAAGCGUGGGGAGCAAACACGAUUAGAUACCCUGGUAGUCCACGCCGUAAACGAUGAAUGUCAUCCGUUACUGGGUUUACUCACUACUGGCGCAGCUAACGCUUUAUGCAUUCCGCCUGGGGAGUACUGUCGUCAGAUUAAUACUCAAAUGUAUUGACUGACGUCCGCACUACCGGUGGAGCAUGUGGUUUAAUUCAAUGCAACGCGCAGAGCCGUAUCUGACCUUGACAUCCCGGUCUCGUACUC